CGGAGGGUGCAAGCGUUAUCCGGAUUUAUUGGGUUUAAAGGGUCCGCAGGCGGACUUGUAAGUCAGAGGUGAAAGCCGGCAGCUCAACUGUCGAACUGCCUUUGAUACUGCAAGUCUUGAGUGAGGUUGAAGUAGCUAGAAUGAGUAGUGUAGCGGUGAAAUGCAUAGAUAUUACUCAGAAUACCAAUUGCGAAGGCAGGUUACUAAGUCUUAACUGACGCUGAGGGACGAAAGCGUGGGGAGCGAACAGGAUUAGAUACCCUGGUAGUCCACGCCGUAAACGAUGGAUACUGUCUGUUGGGGAGCAAUUCUCAGUGGAUAAGCGAAAGUGAUAAGUAUCCCACCUGGGGAGUACGUUCGCAAGAAUG
This 368-nucleotide ribosomal RNA is filed under the name uncultured organism. Its description in RNAcentral is "bacterial SSU rRNA". It matches the Rfam family "Bacterial small subunit ribosomal RNA", at positions 526 to 896 of the family's 1533-position model. The record is from RNAcentral.